Molecule: ribosomal RNA, 429 nt
Filed under: uncultured bacterium
Lineage: Bacteria
Description: bacterial SSU rRNA
Rfam family: Bacterial small subunit ribosomal RNA
Source: RNAcentral
UGGGGAAUAUUGCGCAAUGGGGGAAACCCUGACGCAGCAACGCCGCGUGAGUGAUGAAGGCCCUCGGGUCGUAAAGCUCUGUCGGAGGGGAAGAAACUACCGAUGGCUAAUAUCCAUCGGUAUUGACGGUACCCUCAAAGGAAGCACCGGCUAACCACGUGCCAGCAGCCGCGGUAAUACGUGGGGUGCAAGCGUUGUUCGGAAUUACUGGGCGUAAAGCGCGUGUAGGCUGCUUUUUAUGUCAGGUGUGAAAGCCCUCGGCCUAACCGAGGAAGUGCGCCUGAAACUGAAAAGCUUGAGUACGAGAGAGGGGGACGGAAUUCCCAGUGUAGAGGUGAAAUUCGUAGAUAUUGGGAGGAACACCGGCGGCGAAAGCGGUUCCCUGGAUCGAUACUGACGCUAAGACGCGAAAGCGUGGGGAUCAAACAG